CGGAAAAUAGCAUAAGUAAUAAUGCGCCUCGUUUACACUGAGGAUAUGUAAUGUGUUGCUUUUCUGU
Molecule: transfer RNA, 67 nt
Filed under: Atrina pectinata
Lineage: Eukaryota; Metazoa; Mollusca; Bivalvia; Pterioida; Pinnidae
Description: tRNA-Val
Source: RNAcentral